RNAcentral lists this transfer RNA (84 nucleotides) under Burkholderiales bacterium. RNAcentral's name for it is "tRNA-Leu". It matches the Rfam family "tRNA". Rfam says of the family: Transfer RNA (tRNA) molecules are approximately 80 nucleotides in length. Their secondary structure includes four short double-helical elements and three loops (D, anti-codon, and T loops). RNAcentral also lists the same sequence under 1 other name. The record is from RNAcentral. Lineage: Bacteria; Pseudomonadati; Pseudomonadota; Betaproteobacteria; Burkholderiales.
GCCCGGGUGGUGGAACGGUAGACACAGAGGACUCAAAAUCCUCCGCCGCGAGGCGUGCGGGUUCGAAUCCCGCCCCGGGCACCA